GCGUGCAAGCAGGAGGGGGCAGGGAUCUCUCAGUUAGGGAGCCUCCCUUCCCAGCUGAGGGAUCCCUGCCCCCUCCUGCUUGCACGCAAGUAAGAAUGGGAUUGGGGCUGCUCCGAUGGGAAGGGAGGCAUCGCGCUGCCUGAGAGAUCCCUGCCCCCUCCUGUUUGCACGC
Molecule: microRNA precursor, 172 nt
Filed under: Podarcis lilfordi (Lilford's wall lizard)
Lineage: Eukaryota; Metazoa; Chordata; Lepidosauria; Squamata; Lacertidae
Source: RNAcentral